ACGCUGGCUGCAUGCUUAACACAUGCAAGUCGAACGAGAAAGUACCUUCGGGUAUGAGUAAAGUGGCGGACGGGUGAGUAAUGCAUAGGAAUCUGCCCAGUAGUGGGGGACAACUCGGGGAAACUCGAGCUAAUACCGCAUAUUUCCUACGGGAGAAAGACUUCGGUCGCUAUUGGAUGAGCCUAUGUCAGAUUAGCUUGUUGGUAGGGUAAUGGCCUACCAAGGCGACGAUCUGUAGCUGGUCUGAGAGGAUGAUCAGCCACACUGGGACUGAGACACGGCCCAGACUCCUACGGGAGGCAGCAGUGGGGAAUAUUGGACAAUGGGCGAAAGCCUGAUCCAGCAAUGCAGCGUGUGGAAGAAGGC
Molecule: ribosomal RNA, 366 nt
Filed under: uncultured Gammaproteobacteria bacterium
Lineage: Bacteria; Pseudomonadati; Pseudomonadota; Gammaproteobacteria
Description: bacterial SSU rRNA
Rfam family: Bacterial small subunit ribosomal RNA
Source: RNAcentral